UGGUAUUUGUUAAGAGCUUACUACGUGCAGAGCACUGUUCUAAGCGCUGGGGUAGAUACAGGGUCAUCAGGUUGUCCCACGUGAGGCUCACAGUCUUAAUCCCCAUUUUACAGAUGAGGUAACCGAGGCACCGAGAAGUCAAGUGACUUGGCCAAAGUGACACAGCUGACAGGUGGCAGAGCCGGGAUUAGAACCCAUGACCUCGGACUCCUAAAGCCCGGGCUCUUUCCACUGAGCCACGCUGCCUCUCUGAUGAGGUAAAGAUAGCAAGGUUUGUUAGAAGGACAUUGAAAAGAAACCGGUGGAGGUGGUGUAGAUGGAAUUUUUCUGAUGAGAUGCUCUCCUUCUGUGUGACUUCUCUUUGGCUGCAGAGCAGGGCUGGUUGCCGGUGACACCGAUCAGGACCGGCCUCGAUACUGCCCCGUGGCAAGGAGGGGGGAGAGCGACGGACUGAAAUGUCAGCUGCCAGGCAGAAGUCAGCAGUGAAGAUAUUAAGCCAUACUAGUCUUAGGACUAGGCCCCGAAGAACUCCUGAAGCAAUCUGUGGGGCUGACGUCGUUAUAACUAGUUCUUGGGACGCCUUCCGAAAACUGAAUGGAAAUAAGAGCUAAACCUCAUUUACUUAAUCUGUUUCUGAGCACGUUAUGGGAUACCAAAUCAAAAACCUCACCAAGGUAAGCUAUUUAUUUUUAUCAAUAAUAAUAUACCGUAUUUGUUAAGCGCUUACUAUGUUACAGGCAUAACCUAGACAUUGUCAGAGAAGGUGGUGAGAUUUAGUUGGCCAAGAUUUGUUCUUUACUGAGACAUCAUCCUUGUAGGUGCCUGGAAAUUGUAUUCUCUUCCCCUUUUUGGAGCAAUAAUACCUUAUUAACAUCGGCUUUCCCUCAGAGAGAAUGGGAAAAGUGAUAUGCAGGUUCCAAACUUGUCUUUAAAGUCAACUGUCCAAGUUCAGUGCCGUAUUGGUUCAACCAGCUUAGGCAGUGGUGGCUGAAUAGAAAGAACACAGGCCUGGGAAUCGGCGGACCUGGGUUCUAAUCCUAGUUCUAACACUUGCCUGUUGUGUGCCCUUGGGCAAGUCACUUAACUUCCCUGCACCUCAGCUUCCCAUCUGUCAAAUGGAGAUUCAAAACUUGAUCUCCUUCCUUCCUUAGACUGUGAGCCCCAUGUAGGACAGGGACUGGGUCUGACUUGAUUAGUUUGUACCUGUCCAGUGCUCAGUUCGAUGGUUGUCAUGUAGUAAGUGCUUAACGGAUACAAACAAUAAAUAAUAAAAAUGAAUAGAUACUAAAAAUAACAAAUAGGUUCGGGUGGUCUUCAGGCCCUGAGAAAUUUUCCCUGGUCUUCUAGUUUGUAUUGGCCACCCUCACACUCCCCCUUCUCCUAGGAUUCACUGGUUUUUCACUGAAUUAAGACUGUCAGCAUCCAGCAGUCCCUUCAGAAUUCUCCCACUGAUAUAGUCCCACGAAAUCUAAGGGAAAAAGGAUAUUUUAGAUC
RNAcentral lists this long non-coding RNA (1494 nucleotides) under Ornithorhynchus anatinus (platypus). RNAcentral describes it as "lncRNA (ENSOANG00000036790.1)". Lineage: Eukaryota; Metazoa; Chordata; Mammalia; Monotremata; Ornithorhynchidae. The record is from RNAcentral.